AACCACUGAGCCACAUCCCCAGCCCUUUUUAUUUUUUGGAGACCAGGUCUUGCUACAUUGCUUAGGGCCUCGCUAGGUUACUGAAGCUGCCUUUGGACUUGAAAUCCUCUGGCCUCAGCCUCCUGGGCUGCUGGGAUUACAGGUGUGUCCACCACGUCUUCCAAGUCUCAUUUCUAAUCACAGAGGAAACACUUCCACCAAUGAGUGUGCUCUUGUCUGUUUUGAUAUGUGGUUUUUAUUAUAUUGAAGUAGUUUCAUUUGUGUCUAGUUUAUUUAGUGUCUUUGUCAUUAAAGGGUUUUGGAUUUUGUAAAAGGCUUUUUCUACAUCAAUUGAAAUGAACAUAUGUUCUUUCCCCUUUAUUCUGUUAAUGAUGAGUAUUACACUGAUUGAUUUUCAUACAUUGUAUCAUCCUUACCUUCUGAGAAUAAUUUUCAUUGGCCAUAGUGUAUAAUCCUUUAAAUACACUUUGAAUUUGUUUUGCUAGUAUUUUGUUGAUCUUUGUAUCAACAUUUAUCCAGGAUAUUUGUAUAGGUAAGAAAAACAUUACAUUCUCUUGUUAUUGGGCAGAAUAUUCCAUGUAAUUGGUCUGCAGUGUUGUUCAAUUCUAUUAUUUCCUUCUUGAUCAUUUGUCUGGUUGUUUUAUCCAUUAUUGAAAGCAUGAUUGAAGCCUCCUACUAUUGCUGUAGAUCUGUUUAUACACUUCAGUUCUGUCAGUGUUUUCUUCAUAUGUUUGGAGCUCUGAUUUGGGGGUAUAUAUGUUCAUAAUUGUUACAUAUUCUGACGUAUUGACUCUUCUUAUCAAUAUGCAAUGACUCUUUGUCUCUUAAAACAGUUCCAGUGUAAAGUCUAAUUCUCCUAUUUUUAGUACCG
This 871-nucleotide long non-coding RNA is filed under the name Marmota monax (woodchuck). The record is from RNAcentral. Lineage: Eukaryota; Metazoa; Chordata; Mammalia; Rodentia; Sciuridae.